Molecule: ribosomal RNA, 429 nt
Filed under: Pseudomonadota bacterium
Lineage: Bacteria; Pseudomonadati; Pseudomonadota
Description: Proteobacteria bacterium partial 16S ribosomal RNA
Rfam family: Bacterial small subunit ribosomal RNA
Source: RNAcentral
UGGGGAAUAUUGGACAAUGGGCGAAAGCCUGAUCCAGCCAUGCCGCGUGUGUGAAGAAGGUCUUCGGAUUGUAAAGCUCUUUAAGUUGGGAGGAAGGGCAGUAAGCGAAUACCUUGCUGUUUUGACGUUACCGACAGAAUAAGCACCGGCUAACUCUGUGCCAGCAGCCGCGGUAAUACAGAGGGUGCAAGCGUUAAUCGGAAUUACUGGGCGUAAAGCGCGCGUAGGUGGUUCGUUAAGUUGAAUGUGAAAGCCCCGGGCUCAACCUGGGAACUGCAUCCAAAACUGGCGAGCUAGAGUAGGGCAGAGGGUGGGGGAAUAUCCUGUGUAGCGGUGAAAUGCGUAGAUAUAGGAAGGAACACCAGUGGCGAAGGCGACCACCUGGGCGCAUACUGACACUGAGGUGCGAAAGCGUGGGGAGCAAACAGG